CACCGGCAGCUCUAGUGGUAACAAUUUUUAUUGGGCCUAAAGCGUCCGUAGCCGGUUUAAUAAGUCUCUGGUGAAAUCCUGCAGCUUAACUGUGGGAAUUGCUGGAGAUACUAUUAGACUUGAGACCGGGAGAGGUUAGAGGUACUCCCAGGGUAGAGGUGAAAUUCUGUAAUCCUGGGAGGACCGCCUGUUGCGAAGGCGUCUAACUGGAACGGUUCUGACGGUGAGGGACGAAAGUUAGGGGCGCGAACCGGAUUAGAUACCCCCGUAGUCC
RNAcentral lists this ribosomal RNA (274 nucleotides) under uncultured prokaryote. Its description in RNAcentral is "partial 16S ribosomal RNA". It matches the Rfam family "Archaeal small subunit ribosomal RNA", at positions 474 to 747 of the family's 1478-position model. The record is from RNAcentral.